This 253-nucleotide ribosomal RNA is filed under the name uncultured bacterium. RNAcentral describes it as "partial 16S ribosomal RNA". It matches the Rfam family "Bacterial small subunit ribosomal RNA", at positions 524 to 776 of the family's 1533-position model. The record is from RNAcentral.
UACGGAGGGGGCUAGCGUUGCUCGGAAUCACUGGGCGUAAAGCGCACGUAGGCGGAUUGUUAAGUCAGGGGUGAAAUCCUGGAGCUCAACUCCAGAACUGCCUUUGAUACUGGGGAUCUCGAGUCCGGGAGAGGUGAGUGGAACUGCGAGUGUAGAGGUGAAAUUCGUAGAUAUUCGCAAGAACACCAGUGGCGAAGGCGGCUCACUGGCCCGAUACUGACGCUGAGGCACGAAAGCGUGGGGAGCAAACAGG